This 67-nucleotide transfer RNA is filed under the name Pachliopta aristolochiae. RNAcentral describes it as "tRNA-His". The record is from RNAcentral. Lineage: Eukaryota; Metazoa; Arthropoda; Insecta; Lepidoptera; Papilionidae.
AUUUAAAUAAUUUAAAAAAAAUAUUGGUUUGUGGAAUCAAAAAUAUGAAGUUGUUUCAUUUUAAAUC